UUUCAGGGAUCAUUUCUAUAGUCCGUUACUAGAGAAGUUUCUCUGAACGUGUAGAGCACCCGAAACCACGAGGAGGAGAUGCAGCAUUCUCUCCUGAGCGUGAAGCCGGCUCUCGGUGUUGCUUCGGCAACUGCCGCUUGCCAUUGAUGAUCGUUCUUCUCUCUCUCGGGGGAGAAGAGGGAGAGGAUGCAUUCUGAGUGGCUUUCGGUUUUUUACUCGGUUGAAAAAGUAGAGUGAGUUCGGAAUCACCUUUGUAACUUGUUUCCGCAGUAGUGGGGAACUACUCUGGAUACUUUAGAAAGAAAGAGUAAAGGAGAAGGGGAGAGAGAGAGAAGCAUCAAUGUGAGAGAGAAACAUCGAUAGCUUACCCCCUGUACCAACCCACAACCAGGGCAUGUGUUCUGACCAGGAACUGAACAAGCAAACUUUUGGUGCACAGAACGACACUCUAACUGAACCGCACCCACUGAGCCCCACCAGGGCAUUCUCGACGACGUCCUUGGUGACUGCAAGGACUUGGAGACAACGUAACGUCCAUCAUUGAGAGACCGUCUUCCUUGGUUUAUCACUUCCUGAUGCCGUUCGGAUGAAUCCUCACUCUGGUCUUGUUGCUCCUCCUUUCAUUUUGGCUGUAAUCAUUCUGCUGUUCAACCCAUUUAUGGAUUGAGGCACUGGGGCAGG
Long non-coding RNA from Myotis myotis, 681 nucleotides. RefSeq lists it as uncharacterized. The transcript is spliced from 3 exons. NCBI's taxonomy places the organism in Eukaryota, Metazoa, Chordata, Mammalia, Chiroptera, Vespertilionidae. The record is from RefSeq and is a predicted model, not a curated record.